GAAAUGCGAUACUUGGUGUGAAUUGCAGAAUCCCGUGAACCAUCGAGUCUUUGAACGCAAGUUGCGCCCGAAGCCAUUAGGCCGAGGGCACGCCUGCCUGGGUGUCACACAUCGACCUGAACUCAGACGUGAGCACCCGCUGAACUUAA
RNAcentral lists this unclassified non-coding RNA (149 nucleotides) under uncultured fungus. Its description in RNAcentral is "sequence contains ITS1". The stretch from base 1 to 107 matches the Rfam family "5.8S ribosomal RNA", at positions 50 to 154 of the family's 154-position model. From Rfam's summary of the family: 5.8S ribosomal RNA (5.8S rRNA) is a component of the large subunit of the eukaryotic ribosome. The record is from RNAcentral. Lineage: Eukaryota; Fungi.